GGCUUUAUAGUUGAAUCCCACAACAUCAAACUGCAGCUUUGAAAGUGUAUUAAUUACUAAAGCUU
Molecule: transfer RNA, 65 nt
Filed under: Travisia sanrikuensis
Lineage: Eukaryota; Metazoa; Annelida; Polychaeta; Opheliidae
Description: tRNA-Cys
Source: RNAcentral